AUCCAGCUGACGAGUUCCAAAUGAAACGCGCGUCCUGGAU
RNAcentral lists this non-coding RNA (40 nucleotides) under Schistosoma mansoni. Lineage: Eukaryota; Metazoa; Platyhelminthes; Trematoda; Strigeidida; Schistosomatidae. The record is from RNAcentral.